This 265-nucleotide small RNA is filed under the name Paenibacillus tyrphae. RNAcentral describes it as "Paenibacillus tyrfis BsrG". It matches the Rfam family "BsrG". Rfam says of the family: bsrE, bsrG and bsrH pair through intermolecular interactions with antisense sRNAs. Lineage: Bacteria; Bacillati; Bacillota; Bacilli; Caryophanales; Paenibacillaceae. The record is from Rfam by way of RNAcentral.
CACAUAUUGGCUUUAAGGGCGGUCGGCUAAUCUCCCGGAAGGGAGGUGAUGCCUGUGGAGGUUAAAGACGCUUUGACGCUUAUGAUCAGUUUCGGCUCGAUGAUUAUCACGCUGCUGACUCUGGUUGUGACCAUCGUCAUCGUGCUUAUCCAAAACAAAAAGAAAUAGACCGCCCUCGAUAAGGUAAACGGUCUAUUCCAUCGUAAAACCUUUAAGCUGACCGCUCUUACAGCGGAUGUGCAGGAGUCGUGUUACCGCACGGCUC